RNAcentral lists this ribosomal RNA (119 nucleotides) under Pteropus alecto (black flying fox). The record is from RNAcentral. Lineage: Eukaryota; Metazoa; Chordata; Mammalia; Chiroptera; Pteropodidae.
GUCUACGGCCAUGCUACCCUGAACAAGCCUGAUCUCGUCUGAUCUCGGAAGCUAAGCAGGAUUGGGCAUGGUUAGUACUUGGAUGGGAGACCACCUAGGAAGACCAGGUGCUGUAGGCA